GCCAGGCAUGGUGGUGCACGCCUGUAAUCCCAGCUACUCGGGAGGCUGAGGCAGCAGAAUCACUUGCGCCCAGGAGGCAGAGGCUGCAGUGAGCCAAGAUCAUGCCAUUGCACUCCAGCCUGGGCGACAGAGUGAGAGUCUGUCUCAA
Molecule: unclassified non-coding RNA, 148 nt
Organism: Pongo abelii (Sumatran orangutan)
Lineage: Eukaryota; Metazoa; Chordata; Mammalia; Primates; Hominidae
Rfam family: Metazoan signal recognition particle RNA
About the family: The signal recognition particle (SRP) is a universally conserved ribonucleoprotein. It is involved in the co-translational targeting of proteins to membranes. The eukaryotic SRP consists of a 300-nucleotide 7S RNA and six proteins: SRPs 72, 68, 54, 19, 14, and 9.
Source: Ensembl